Triticum aestivum (bread wheat) is the source of this 124-nucleotide non-coding RNA. The record is from Rfam. Lineage: Eukaryota; Viridiplantae; Streptophyta; Magnoliopsida; Poales; Poaceae.
UAAAUACUCCCGCCGUCCAGAAAUACUUGUCCUAAAAAUGGAUAAAAUGGAUGUAUCUAUAACUAAAAUAAGUCUAGACACAUCCAUUUCUAGGACAAGUAUUUCCGGACGGAGGGAGUAUUUA